UACGUAGGGUGCAAGCGUUGUCCGGAAUUAUUGGGCGUAAAGAGCUCGUAGGCGGUCUGUCGCGUCGGCUGUGAAAACUCGGGGCUCAACUCCGAGCUUGCGGUCGAUACGGGCAGGCUAGAGUUCGGUAGGGGAGACUGGAAUUCCUGGUGUAGCGGUGAAAUGCGCAGAUAUCAGGAGGAACACCGGUGGCGAAGGCGGUUCUCUGGGCCUUACCUGACGCUGAGGAGCGAAAGUGUGGGGAGCGAACAGG
Molecule: ribosomal RNA, 253 nt
Filed under: uncultured bacterium
Lineage: Bacteria
Description: partial 16S ribosomal RNA
Rfam family: Bacterial small subunit ribosomal RNA
Source: RNAcentral